AAAAAGGCAAACCCUAGGUUUCUGUGUCCAACUUUGACUGUCCGUCUUAUAUGAAAUUUUUUUAUAAUUCGUAUUUUUAUUGUUGUUAGAUGAUAAAACAUGAUUAAUAUUUUAUGCGUGACUUGUCUUUUUAAUUUUUUUCAUAAUUUUUUCAAAUAAGACGAACGGUCAAACGUUAGGCACGAAAACCAGGGUUUGUCUUUUU
This 205-nucleotide microRNA precursor is filed under the name Oryza rufipogon (brownbeard rice). RNAcentral's name for it is "MIR812 microRNA precursor family". It matches the Rfam family "MIR812 microRNA precursor family". The record is from Rfam by way of RNAcentral. Lineage: Eukaryota; Viridiplantae; Streptophyta; Magnoliopsida; Poales; Poaceae.